Molecule: unclassified non-coding RNA, 1511 nt
Filed under: Leishmania donovani
Lineage: Eukaryota; Euglenozoa; Kinetoplastea; Trypanosomatida; Trypanosomatidae
Description: gene:LdHU3.31.2790(CDS-product:hypothetical_prote in_conserved)
Source: RNAcentral
GGGGACUUGCUUGCUCGAGACCCCUGCUCCUUCCCCUCUCCUCCCAUGUUCGCCAUAAGAUGUCCUGCGUCCAUGCUAUGGCAUCCUUCUGUGCACCAUAGUCUUUUGCUGCUCCGCGCUCUUGAGCAGCCGCACACGCUUCUCCUCGAUCCACACACCACCUCGCGAGGUCGUCUUUUCGUUCCUCUUCUCUCAGAAUGUGCAAGAGAGGUGCGCAUUCAGACUCCGCCCGUCCAUCACGAGUUCGACUCUGCUGCUGGUGCUUCCACGGAACGUAGCGUGCUGCUGUACAGAGCCGAGGAUUUGCUUCACGUGGUGAACCGACCGCUUGGUGCUGGGCGCGACCUUGGCGCAGCCUGCCCAACGCAGUCUGGGGUGUUUGCAUCGCUGCUCGAGUAUCUGGAGGCGUCGACGGUGAGCAGCCACGUGAUAUCGGCCAUCGAUGCUCUUCUGGUAUCUCUGAACACGGGCGACAUGGAGACGAUGCGCCAGACUCACGCGUGCCUGGUGGAGCUGAUUGAGAGACUGGAAGCCUCUAUCACUGAUGAGAGCCUGAGCGAAGCAUAUCAGACGGACCAGAAGGAGCCACUAAGUGCAUGGCCGCUCUUCUGCACGCUUCAGUUUCUCAUUGAGGAAGGCGGUAUGCUGACAUCGGCCUUUCCCCGCACAAACAAAGCGUACACGCGACUCUGCCACUCCAGUAAGGCUGUAGCGCAGCACCGACGGCUCGUGCAGCGUACCGUGGAGCAGCUGCUCGACGUCGGCAGCAGCACUGAUACCGACGUCAGUCAGGGAGCGCGGGUGGAGAUGAACUAUCCGGCCAAGGGCUUCUUGCGUGACGUCCAACGACAUCUGGCUUCGUACAAUCGGAGCAUGGAGGAGCGUACCACGGAUGGGGUGUCGGGUGAGAAAGGGCCGCUGAACAGCCGUGCAAGCGGGGGGAGGCUCGGUAUCCAGGCGGUCCAGGCUCGCCUACCUUGGACGCUCCAAGCGCGGCCACUACGCAAGGGAUAGCUGUCGACUUGUGCUGCACCACGACAUGCAGCGACCCUGCUCCUGGCGGUUGAUGAGGCUGUAUGCAGUGAGGGUCAUGCCGCAAUGUGGGUGGUGCUGCGUCACAGCACCGUUUGGUACCCGUGGUCAUGCCGGGGAUGAAGCAUGCGUAUAAUCUGCAUCCGGUGCACCUUCGCCAUUCUCUUACACACGUGUAAUCCAUAAAGCACACACGAUGGAGGCAUGGAAAACGACUCCUCAGCUGCGCAUGUUGUGCAACUGCGUAGUGCGUCGCUCUCGUAGACGUUUCCUCGACCGCAUGUGGCUCUUUCCCUUCACCCCUUGAGGGAGGUCGCAUCUUUUUUUUCCCUUCCGCUCCGCUUGUCGGUCGCAGAAAGCUCGUCGCACGUGCAUGCUCCCACUGGCCACACUCCCAAGAACCUUCUCGAUUCUUUGACGCUCUCUUUUCUGCAUCGGCCGUCUACGCAUCCUUCUCUCCACACGACGCACACGCCCAG